RNAcentral lists this ribosomal RNA (1984 nucleotides) under human metagenome. RNAcentral describes it as "bacterial LSU rRNA". It matches the Rfam family "Bacterial large subunit ribosomal RNA", at positions 447 to 2438 of the family's 2925-position model. The record is from RNAcentral.
CCGGGACCAUCCGGUAAGGCUAAAUACUCCCGAGAGACCGAUAGCGAACCAGUACCGUGAGGGAAAGGUGAAAAGCACUUCGAACAGAAGAGUGAAAUAGUUCCUGAAACCGUGCGCCUACAAGCGGUCGGAGCUCGUUAAUGAGUGACGGCGUGCCUUUUGCAUAAUGAACCUACGAGUUGCCUUUGCCGGCAAGGUUAAGUGUGACGACACACGUAUCCGAAGCGAAAGCGAGUCUGAACAGGGCGUAUAGUCGGCAGUGGCAGACGCGAAACCAAGUGAUCUACCCUUGGCCAGGUUGAAGGCUGGGUAACACCAGCUGGAGGACCGCACCAAUAAGCGUUGAAAAGCUUCUGGAUGAGCUGAGGGUAGGGGUGAAAGGCUAAUCAAACUUGGAGAUAGCUCGUACUCCCCGAAAUGCAUUUAGGUGCAGCCUUGCGGGUUACUGAUGUGAGGUAGAGCGACUGAUAAGAUGCGAGGGCUUCACCGCCUAUCAAGUCUUGACAAACUCCGAAUGCGCAUCAGUUCUACCGCAGGAGUGAGGGCAUGGGUGCUAAGGUCCGUGCCCGAGAGGAGAAGAAUCCGGACCACCUGCUAAGGUCCCGAAAUGACAGCUAAGUUAAACUAACGAAGUCUGACUGCUAAGACAGCUAGGAUGUUGGCUUGGAAGCAGCCAUUCAUUUAAAGAGUGCGUAACAGCUCACUAGUCGAGGAGUCGGGCGUGGAUAAUAAUCGGGUAUUAAGUUGUCUACCGAAGCAGUGGGAUCAUUUAUAUGAUCGGUAGGGGAGCAUUCCAGUCAGCGUCGAAGGCGUACCGUGAGGUAUUCUGGAGCGUCUGGAAAAGCAAAUGUAGGUAUAAGUAACGAUAAAGGGGGCGGGAAACCCCCUCGCCGAAAGACUAAGGUUUCCUGAUCAACGCUAAUCGGAUCAGGGUCAGUCGGGUCCUAAGGCUCAGCCGAACGGCGAUGCCGAUGGCAGAAACGGUUAAUAUUCCGUUACUACCUUCAGGAGUGACGUGGAGACGCAGUAGUGACAGUGCCGCCAUCUGACGGAAUAGAUGGUUGAAGGGUGUAGGAGUCGAUCAUGGCAGGCAAAUCCACCAUGAGAUCCGAACCUGAGAGUAUGCCGCGUCCUUCGGGACAAGGCAAUAGUGCGCGUAAGCAUGCUGCCGAGAAAAUCCGCUAAACUUAAUCCUGCAGGUACCCGUACCGCAAACGGACACACGUAGUCGGGAUGAAUAUUCUAAGGCGCUUGAGUGAUUCACGGUUAAGGAACUAGGCAAACUGACCCUGUAACUUCGGGAUAAAGGGUCCCUACCCUUUUAUGGGAGGGCGCAGAGAAUCGGUCCAGGCAACUGUUUAACAAAAACACAGGGCUGUGCCAAAUCGAAAGAUCCAGUAUACAGCCUGACACCUGCCCGGUGCUGGAAGGUUAAGAGGAGAUGUCAUCGAUAAGAGAAGCGUUGAAUUGAAGCCCCAGUAAACGGCGGCCGUAACUAUAACGGUCCUAAGGUAGCGAAAUUCCUUGUCGGGUAAGUUCCGACCUGCACGAAUGGUGUAAUGAUCUGGACGCUGUCUCAACCGUGAGCUCAGUGAAAUUGUAGUAUCGGUGAAGAUGCCGAUUACCCGCGAUGGGACGAAAAGACCCCGUGAACCUUUACUAUAGCUUAUCAUUGAAUCUGGGCACGUGAUGUGUAGGAUAGGUCGGAGGCUUUGAAGCAGGUACGCCAGUAUUUGUGGAGCCGCUGUUGAAAUACGACCCUUUAUUUGUUUGGAUUCUAACCCGUGGAUACGGGGACAUUGAUUGGUGGGUAGUUUGACUGGGGUGGUCGCCUCCAAAAGCGUAACGGAGGCUUCUAAAGGUGCCCUCCGGCCGAUUGGUAACCGGCCUUAGAGUGUAAUGGCAUAAGGGCGCUUGACUGGGAGACUGACAAGUCGAUCAGGUAGGAAACUAGAGCAUAGUGAUCCGGUGUUUCCGUAUGGAA